Long non-coding RNA from Bubalus bubalis (water buffalo), 1957 nucleotides. RefSeq lists it as uncharacterized. Lineage: Eukaryota; Metazoa; Chordata; Mammalia; Artiodactyla; Bovidae. The transcript has 3 exons. The record is from RefSeq and is a predicted model, not a curated record.
ACUUUUUUUUCAAUCAUUAAGAACAUCAAAAGUGUUUAACAUAGGAAGGAUAGCACAAUGCAUGUUAACCUAUUGUCACUCUCCUCUUCUCUCUUCCACAGGGAAGCCUGCAGGUAUCUUGUUCAUUUUGUUAUUCCAUGGCACCUCGUUCUGUUCCCCUAUGCUGAUAAAUCAGGCUGAUCAUAUCUGGUGAAAAGGAAGUGGAAAAGACUCCUGGUGCUCUAUAAGACACACACAAGCCAGAGAAUGGAAGAUUCAGACCCUGCAGAUUUUAGGGGCCAAUGGUCUGGAGGAUGCUGGGACAUGCCCUCCAAGUUAAGGACAAGUUAUUGAACUUGCACCCUCUACCAUUAAGAUGGAAAGUGUGUAGACUUUUGUAUCAUGGAAUGUCAACAAAAGAGUAUUCAGCUGAGGAGGCAAAGAUAAGGUGGACAGGAUGAUUCUUUCAGUAGACUUCAGCCAGCCUUGUCCUUGACCACUUGAGGCUUGCACAACAAACCCAUAAGUGAAUCCCUCUGUCAUCAUUACUGAUAGUCUACAGAACGCCUACUACCAACAUGGUAUCGUGCAUUACCUCACCUCAGAUCAAGAACUAUUUUGUGGCAAAUGAAGAGCAACAUGAAUUACUGGAUCCAUGAUCCUAACAUAUGCAGCAUUAUCUAGAAGCAGUCAAAAAGGAACCACAAAAUGAACUAUUACUUAGACACCAGCUUGGAGACGACAGCGUGCAGGGCUGGGGUGCUGUUUUUCAGGAUGGGAUACAUGCACUGUUCCAAAAGCCAGUAUGUGAUUCCACAUCCCCAACUGCUAGGAUUCAUGCAGCUAAGAGCCAAGGGGAUAGAAAGAGGACUGGCCCUCCAGUAUUCUCAGAGACCUACAGGCAUAAUGGUGCUUCCCACCCUUACCACGUUGGAGGUCACCAAGGUGGUCACCUUGAUAAGGUGGUAAGGUGGUCACCUUACCACGGGAUUGGAGGUUAUUUCAGGGGAACAGGAAAAAGCUAGCACAUUUCUAUCAAGAAGCACAGUAAGAUUUAAACAGAACUGCAGCCAACUGAUCCUGCUGGACUGCUCAUGUCUCUGGGGCAACAAGCAAAAAAAAGGGGAGUUAAUGUGUUGGUUAACAAGGAGCUAAAAUUACAACUACAAAAUGAAACAAGGAAAAUGUAUCUGGAACUCAUGCAAUUCAGUGAUUUGCCUGAUUCCUGAUGCUUCCAUGCCUGGUGUGAACAGCAAACAGACAAAUGUGGUAACUGUAGCUGAAAAGGGGCACAGUAACCAAGGCCCUAGAUCUUGGAAAGGAUGAAGGUCUGGGUCACUCUACCAGGCAGCUAAACUAGACCUGCUGAAUUUCUGGAAGAGAGCAAGCAAAGUCUCAAAUUGGUAGUGCAGGAAGAGGAUGAUGAAUAUGAGUUUUGGUCUUUGGUUCAGUUGUAGCAACAGGAGCGAUAGCUUGUCUCACUAAUCCUCCUGGGUAGUCUUCAACAGACUGUGACUCCUCAUCACUUUGAAGAUAUGGUGAUGGGUAGACUUAACAUGGGACUCAAUUCUGAAUAGGCAAGGGGUAGACAGCAGAAAACACUUCUUUUGUCCCACAUCACAUCCUUUUGUCAGCUUCUGCCAUCAGCUCACUCUGAACCACACUGAAACUACCUACAAUUUAAUCUCUAUCUGAUGACAAAUAUCUGAAUUUGAUGGUAUAUCUAACUAAUGCACAAGCUGUGAAAAGCUUUACAUGCUAAUAAAUACUACCAAUAAGUUCCAGACCCACAAUAAAUGUGAUAUAUAAGCUUCCAAUUGUCACAAAAAAUUUCAAUCCAGUAUUACUUUCUGCCAGAAAUUUAACAACUCUUAUGAUACAAGUGUACAUAAUACUUUUCAUGCUAAAGUAUUCACAAAAAUUGAAUCAUUCACUUUGCCAAAUUCAUUUUUUUUCUUUUUUCUGCAUUGAGUCUAUU